RNAcentral lists this long non-coding RNA (493 nucleotides) under Solanum tuberosum (potato). RNAcentral's name for it is "long non-coding RNA (STUB_LNC007491)". The record is from RNAcentral. Lineage: Eukaryota; Viridiplantae; Streptophyta; Magnoliopsida; Solanales; Solanaceae.
UAACCUUCAGUGAUCUGUAUUCAGUGAUCAAUUUCGAGAUGAAUCAAGUUCGGGCAGAGAGUUGAGUUUGAAGUUUUUUGAAGUUUGAAAGGUUAGAAGGUUUAAAUUCGAUUGUAUGUCAUUAGUUACUUGCUUAAUUCAAGAUUAAUUCUCUUUCUCGGCUAUACUAACCUUCAACGAUGUGUAUUCAGUGAUCAAUUUCGAGAUGAAUCAAGUUCGGGCAGAGAGUUGAGUUUGAAGUUUUUUGAAGUUUGAAAGGUUAGAAGGUUUAAAUUCGAUUGCAUGUCUUAGUUACUUGUUUAAUUCAUGCUUAAUUCUCUAUCUCGGCUAUACUAACCUUCAACGAUGUGUAUUCAGUGAUCAAUUUCGAGAUGAAUCAAGUUCGGGCAGAGAGUUGAGUUUGAAGUUUUUUGAAGUUUGAAAGGUUAGAAGGUUUAAAUUCGAUUGCAUGUCAUUAGUUACUUGCUUAAUUCAAGCUUAAUCUCUUUCUCGG